This 73-nucleotide transfer RNA is filed under the name Methanothrix sp. RNAcentral's name for it is "tRNA-Asn". It matches the Rfam family "tRNA". Rfam says of the family: Transfer RNA (tRNA) molecules are approximately 80 nucleotides in length. Their secondary structure includes four short double-helical elements and three loops (D, anti-codon, and T loops). RNAcentral also lists the same sequence under 3 other names. The record is from RNAcentral. Lineage: Archaea; Methanobacteriati; Methanobacteriota; Methanomicrobia; Methanotrichales; Methanotrichaceae.
GCCGCCAUAACUCAGCUGGUAGAGUGUCUGGCUGUUAACCAGAUCGUCACAGGUUCGAGCCCUGUUGGCGGCG